RNA transcript from Heteronotia binoei (common prickly gecko), 1182 nucleotides. It is a transcript of the gene named intraflagellar transport 27, with no coding region annotated. The transcript has 10 exons. NCBI's taxonomy places the organism in Eukaryota, Metazoa, Chordata, Lepidosauria, Squamata, Gekkonidae. The record is from RefSeq and is a predicted model, not a curated record.
GAGUCCUGUUGCUAGGGCAGCCUUAUGUGAGAGCGAGCGGGCUUGGGGGCUACUUUUGUGGGCCUUGUCACUACGAUAGCCCAGGUCUGUGUGCCUUUCUUUCCUAAAAGUACCUUGUAGUCCCUCCGGAGACAUACAUACUUUUCUCCCAUUAGGAACUCCUGUCCAACUGCACCCCCUCUUCGUCCUCCCUUGUUUGGGACCAUUCUCAAAUCUCUGUAUAACGUCCUUCUCCUUUAGCUAAGGUUUCAAUUUAAUACACAGACCAGUUGCUGUUUUCCCUCCCGUCAGCUUCCCCCAUCCCAGUCCUCAUUUAUCCUGAAGGUCAGUGCAGACCAUGGUGAAGCUGGCUGCCAAGUGCAUCGUGGCAGGUGAUCCAGCAGUGGGAAAGAGUGCCUUGGUCCAGAUGUUCUGCAAUGAUGGGGCUCAUUUCCAGAAAAACUACACAUUGACAACAGGAGUGGAACUGCUGGUGAAGACAGUACCUGUCCCAGAAACCAGUGAUAGUGUGGAACUUUUCAUCUUUGACUCAGCAGGCAAGGAACUGUUUUCUGAGAUGCUAGAUAAAUUGUGGGAACAGCCCAAUACUAUGUGCAUUGUAUAUGAUGUCACCAAUGAGCAGUCUUUUAAUAACUGUGCCAAGUGGCUAGAGAAGCUGAGAGCCCAGACUUCUGGAAUACAAAUCCCAGGUGUGUUAGUGGGCAAUAAGACGGAUUUGAUUGAUAGGCGAGUUGUGGAGCACAAACAGGCGCAAGAGUGGGCAGAGACCAAUGGCCUAGACUACUGCGAGAUAUCAGUUAAAGAGAUGGAAAAUUAUGAAGCACCCUUUCACAUUGUGGCAAAUUCCUUCCACCAAUUAUACAAAGAGAAGGUGGAAAUCUUUCACUCGCUUGUACCUCGUAUUGUUUGUUAACCAGAGCCAAGACUGUGAAUUCUGUCAGCAUCAUAGCAGGACAAGCUGCAAAACUGAAAUUCUCAGGGGGACAGCAAUUGCCAGUGGGAACAGAAUUCAUGCCUGCUAUAGAGCAUGUCCUCCAUCUACAUCCUUUUGAGUGGUUAAUGACACUUGAGAUUGUAAAAGCUAUAGCACUGGGAUUUGAGUACAGCACGUGGAUGUUUAUAUAUGCGUGUGUCACUUUGCCUAUAUAAAUAAAAAUAUGUGCUUUCUUUGUGGUCAGAAAA